GACAGUGUGGAUUUGUACCUCAUGCUGCACAACUUUACAUGAAACAUGAUCCUUAUCACACGGAGAUGCUCAGUCUACAUCAAUCAAUGGAUCAUGCAAUGUUCAUACUAAGAGAGCAAUUUGGUUAAGCCAACGUAUUUUCUAGUCAAAACAUUUCAAGCAUUGUUCCAAAUUGAUUAAGUAGAGGACAAUAUCGAUAUAUAUUAGUAUUUAGCCUACGCUGAUUCACUACACAACAGAUCCCACACCCAUUUUUAACCCAUCAAGUUUUGAACAUGGAAUGAAUGAGAUAGUUUGUAGGAACCAGCAAAGGUAAAGCCUAAAUAGCUACCUAGCAUGUUGCUGUCAUUGAACCUGCAUUUGUGGAAUCUGAACCAAUGGAAAUCACUCUAGGUGAACUCUGGCAUGGUGAAAUUGUAACACAAGUUUCUUCAUUUGAGCCUGGAGUUCUUUGUCGAUGCCUAGAGACCUUUAUUCCAUACAUUGUGUUAGUUGGCACAGCACAGAACCCAUGGUGGUUAUAUGUUGGCACGUGAAAGUUGUGCAUGCCAUUGCUGUCUCUAAAGCUUUCCAGGCCGAAUUCACAUCCAACGCUCCUCGAAUCAUUUGAUACAAAAUCGUUGUUAAAUCCCAUUCUGGAACUCAGGGUUCACCCACUGCACUAUGUGGACAAGAUCAUCAAUUUCUAUGAUUGCAGGUUGGCCAGUAAAACUCUCAAAAUCAAUUUUUUUCAUUCUACCUUCGACAAUUAUAGUACCUGCAGACCAAAAAAAAGUAAUAUCAAACCACUCACUGUUCAUGCAUUUGUAUUUAUAACAUGAUAAAAAAAAUCUAAUAGAACGCAGAAACUUGAACAUACUCUAGAUCAAGAUAACCCACUCUGCCCAUGACCGACGUUACCACACAAGUCUCAUUAUCACUGAAAACAACCCUGGACAGACCGAAAUCUUCUAUUUACGCGUCCAAGCUUUUAUUGCACUGCGCUUGCUCCUCUCUUAAUGCAAUUCUCCUACUGGAUUCCCUUCUUAAGUGAGCUGAAAUACAAAUCCAAUUUAUCUGUGUUUAAAGUAUUCUAGAUAACUCGACCUGAUUUUAUUCAAGGAUGAAAGAUUGAAGAAAGAAGUUACAUAUUGACUAAACAGAUUACCUUCUAAAAAAUUGGUCUAAGAAAACUGUGUUAGUUGAGAGAACCUGCACACAGUGAGAAGAAACACAACCUUGUACAAAAGUGUAUCUCAACAUAUGGAAAUCACUCUAGGUGAACUCUGGCAUGGUGAAAUCGUAACACGAGUUUCUUCAUUUGAGCCUGGCGUUCUUUCUCGACACUUAGACACCUUCAUUCCAAACACUUCCAAACGAGAUAGAGAGUGCAGCCCCUUGGGCAAAUAUUGUAAUUUCCCACAUUUAUAUAAUUCCAAAUGAGAUAGAGAUUGCAAGCUGGAGACAUUGUGAUCCGGCAGAGAUAUCAAAUUGGAGCAUUCACUGACACGCAAAUCGGUAGACUUAUUAAUCCAUCACAUCCCCUAAUUAUCAACUCAGUGAGGGAGGUGGGAAUAGCCUCUAGAUUAGGGUAAAAAUAUAUAUCCAUCUUCUGAAGAGAGACGGGGGUUUGUAGCCCGUGACCCGACAAAGUCCUCAAAUUUGGACAAUUACAGAUCUGCAGUGUGCAAAGACUAGUUCAAGAAUGGAGCCCACGUAUACUUGCGAAUCCAUCGCAGUGUUCAAUAGACAAUCAGCGGAGGGAUGUGCAACCCUUUAAAGACAAGUCCCCCUCGAGAGUAGUGCAUCUCUCAAAAACCAGAUCAUGAAGUGAGGCAGACUCUGAAGUACGUCUUAGCUUUGGGCAAUCAAUUAUUUUCAACUCCUGAAGAGAUUGGGAUGGUGAAAUUUGGAAGGAUUCUAGAUUGCCGCAAUCCUCAAUUUCCACCGUCUCAAGUGAGGGGCAAUAUUCUAACCCACAACACAAGCUCGACAAUUUCUCACAGCUCCUAAUUCUCAAUUGAUGGAGAUUGGUUACUCGACAAUUUCUCAUCAUUCAAGAUGCAAAUUUAGUACCCUUGAAUUCCUCAAUCGUCAAGCUUUCUAAGUUGGGGUGCGGUUGGAAUCCUUCAAGAAUAUCCUCGUCAAGAAAAUUGCCAUUUCUUUCUUUAGGAGGGACCCGCCCCCAUUUUAAUAUCAAUUUUCGUAGGUUUGCCUUUUCCACUAAUUUUGAUUUCACUGCUUCUUCCUUGUCUCUCACAUAUUCUAAUGCUCCAAUAACUAGUUCCCCUUUCAAUUCAUUUAACCUGCCCAACUCAUCAAUUCUAUGACGCCUUGCUCUUUCCAAUUUAAAUGAAGGUAGCGUCUGCAGAUGAGUCAAUCUUGUCAUCCCAAAUGGAACUUCCACAUCCUCGUCGAAAUAAACAUGUCUGAAGUUGAUCAAAUUUUCCAUUUCCUUAGGAAACGUCUUAAGACUAUAUGUUCUUGACAUUUUUAACGUCUGAAGAUUAUAGAGCUUGCCAAUAGAUUUUGGGAGUUUUUUUACUUUUGUCCUUUAAAUGUUGAGAUACCUUAAUCGUUUCAACUUUCCAAUUGAAUUGGGCAACUCCUCAAUUUCAACAUGGAAAAAAUUCAACAUCUGUAAACCUUUAAACCUUUGAAAGAUGUUUUAACGAAAUAUUCCCGGUACUAUUCACUUUUGACGAAAAAUCACAUUUUUACCGUUCCUUGAUAUUGUUCACUACACCUUUAUUUGUCAUUUUUCAUUCAAACUAUUUUUUUUUUUUAACUUUUCAUUAGUUUUCCUUUGAAAAAUAAAUAAAUAAAUAUGGCAUCAGUCAUACAAAGUCAAGCUUUCUAAACCUCUUUUAUGGACAGAUACGGAUUUCACGGUUCGAAGCUCAAUCAACAAGUAAUAUGGACCACUCAAAUUGAAUUCAAUAGUACUAAUUAACUCAUUUGCUGCCUCACCUUACAUAAUCUAAAGACUUCAAUGUCUCUUUCACACAAAGGGCCCAAAUUUUCUGGUCCUUAAGCUCUGAAUACUAAUGUCAGGAGGGGAUCCAAAUUCCUGUUUAUUAUCCAUCUGUCAAAUUGUCAACUGUUUGCUUUAGCUUGUUGUCCUAGUUUCUCUCUUCCUCAUCCUCCUCUAGCUAGCUUUUGGACUCCGGCAUCCGAAUCACAUGUCCAUGCGGCCCUAGACACAUUAAAGCUUACCUACUCAAUGUAAUGACUCCAUUCCCCUCUCCAACUACCUUCAUGGCCCAACACCUCCAGAGGUUUCAAACGAAAGAAUUUCUAGGUUCUUGUGUCCGAAACCCCAGCUAAGUUUAAUAGACGAGGGGUGGGAACAUAAUAUCUUGUAUCGUGGGCCUCACAAUCAUGGAGAUAUAGUGCUUUUUAGUGUCCAAGCCAUAUGAAUUAGGUGGUCCGGUUGCUCUAAACUAGAAUUUUAUCCUCAAUUUGACAAAUUAACAAUGGCUAAUUGGCUAUGCGUCUCCCUCUCUAUGUUGUUAAUAGUGUCGAUAUUGUCCCAUCACAUCAAUUGAAGAAAAACCCCUAUCAGGAAUAAUAUGUAUUAACAAAACAUGAUGCUUUAUUUGAGAAUUUAUUUGAGAAUCAUAGCCUUUGGAUGAGUUCACGAUAGAUAAAUACCACAAAGUAUAGAUAGUCAAAGUUCAAACAUUAUUGACGGAUGGUGAAUGUGAACGAUAAUUCAAGAGUAGUGAGAAAGAUGAUUGGUAUUAAGUCUUUGGUCACUAUUAUCUUGAAAGUUGAUGACCAAAAUGACAACUGCCUCCUUCUUUUGGCUGCAACAGCAGAAAUAGGAUGCUUACAUGGAACCUGCAUUUGUGGAAUAUGAACAUCUGGAAAUUACUCCGGGUGAACUCGUAACACGAGUUUCUUCAUUUGAGCAUGGAGCUCUUUCUCGAUGCCUAGAUGUACACCUCCAUUUCCAAACACUCUGUUAACGCACAGCACAAAACUCUCUGCUGAGAGGUGGAAGUUGUGCAUGCAAUUGCUGUCUCUAAUGGUUUCCAGAACGAAUUCACGUCAAACUCUCCUCAAAUCUUUCGAUCUCAAAACCCCGUUCUGGAACUCAGGAAUCAGGAUUCACCAACUCCACUAUGUAGAGAAGAUCAUCAUUUUCUAUGAUUGCAAGUUGGCCAGUAAAACUCUAAACAUCAAUUUUUUUCAGUCAACCUUUGAUAAUUAUAGUACCUGCAGAUCAAAUAAAGUAAUCAUAGAUCAUUCACUGCUCAUAGAUUUGUUUGUUUUUUUAAAUCAAAAUUCUAAGAACACGAAAUCUGAACAUACUCAAGAUCAAGAUACCCCGCUGUACUCAUGGCCGAUGUCACCACGAGUCUCACUGUCACUGGGAAAUGCCAUGGACAGACCGAAAUCUGCUAUUUUUGCUCCAAGUUUUCACUUAAGAGAAUGUUGGCAGUAUUUACAUCUCUAUGCACAGUACGUGGAUUGCACCUUUAUGCAAGUAAAUAGUCCUGUGAGCCAAAUUUCACAAUAUACAUAUGUUGAAUUAGGCAUAUGAACUUGCACAAUUAUAUUAGCGUACGAAAUAACACAACGCACCAACCUAUAGGCAAUAUCUAGUGUUAUCCGAAGUCUCAUUUCCCAAGUCACAUGUGAGCUUCUAUCUGCAUGCAGCCAUUGACGUGACACUUCAAUAUUUUGAAACCCUCUGAUGGAGGACAAUGCUUAUAAAAUAUAGAUCUACAUACCUGAGAGAUAUUCUUUUAGGUUUCCUUUAGGAAUGUACUCGUAUGUAAUAUAAGUACCAAGUAAUCGGUAUCAACACAGUAUCCAAUAAAUGAGGCCAAGUUUCUAUGAUGUAUUCUCAUCAGGAGCUCAACCUGCAGCGACAAGGAACUCAUCAAUCUCUAACCAACGAGACAAGGCACUUGCAAUUCCAAGGAAUUAAAAUCCUAACUGUCAAACCUCUGUUUGGAAUCCCCUAGCUCCUUGAGUUGACGAUGGAGAAAGUAUUUUAACCGCAACUUGAGUGCCAUCUUCCAAGUAGCCAUGGUAUACAAUCCCAAAUCCUCAUUUCCCAAUUUCAGUUUGAAAGUUUUCGGUGAUUUUUAAAACCUCAUCACAAGUAAACUGGGACUUCAUUGAUGCUACCGGUGUGCUACAGGUGUUUUGUUAUGUUUUUCUCCAUCUGCAGCUUAAGGACAAAAAGUUAUGAGUUCAGACUAACUGGAUAGGAAUACCACUACGCCUUAGUAGCAGUGCCGUUUCUAACUAAAUAAGUAUCAAGGUUAUAAAAUGGUACCUGGUUUUCUUAUUCUUCUCAGCUUCCAGACCAGUAAGAGCACUACAACUUGAAGGAGGGCCAUUGUUGAAAGUAAUGAUCCAAGUAUUGGAACAACAAUGUUCUUCUUGCACUUGCUUGAAUCUGAGCUAAAAAGAACUUAUCAGCAGAUAGAAAAUAUAAAUCUGAAGGACGCAAUACCGUUCGCUUUCGUUAAAGAAAAUGCUAACCUACUCAGCACUCUCCAUGAAUGAAACUUGCACAUAGCAGUACGACGAGGAAACCAGUUGAGAUCUUCACCUCUCUGUCUCAUUGCAGCCUGUGAACUACCUGGUAUUUAAAAUGUGUGACAAUGUCCUGACCAAAAAAACAGAAAAACGUAUAUGACGGUGUGGAUUUGAAACCUCAUGCUGCACAACUUGCAGAGUACAUACAAGAUCCUUAUUACAUGGGGAUGCUUAGUCUACCCCAAUCAAUGGAUCAUGCAAUGUUCAUACUAAGAGAGCAAUUUGGUCAAGCCAACGCAUUUUCUAGUCAAAGCAUUUAAAACAUUGUUCCUAUUAGGGUUAUGUGGUGUGAUACAAGUCAGGGAGACAACCCGAAGUAUUAGACAAAAGUGAUUAAGUCGAGGACAAAAUAGAUGCAUACUUGUAUUUAGCCUACACUGAUUCACUGCACAACAGAUCCCACACCCAUUUUUAACCGACCAAGUUUUGAACAUGGGAUGAAUGAGAGAGUUUGAGGCUACCUAGCAUGGUGCUGUCAUGGAACCUGCAUUUGUGGAAUUUGAACAUCUGGAAAUCACUCUAGGUGAACUCUGGGGUGGUGAGAUCAUAACACGAGUUUCUUCAUUUGAGCCUGGAGUUCUUUCUCGAUGCUUAGACACCUCCAUUCCAUACAUUUUGUUAGUUGGCACAGCACAAAACCAACCAUGGUGGCUCUAUGUUGGGAGGUGGAAGUUGUGCAAGCCAUUGCUGUCUUUAAUGGUUUCCUGACCGAAUUCACAUCGAAAUUUAUAUGAAUCGUUCGAUGCAAAUUAGUUGUUAAAUCACCAUUCUGGAACUCAGGAUUCACCCACUCCACGAUGUGGACAAGAUCAUCACUUUCUAUGAUUGCAGCCUUGCAGGUUAGCCAGUAAAACUCUAAAAUUCAACCCUUGAUAAUUAUAGUACCUACAGACAAUAAAAAGUAAUCAUAAAUAAACCACUCACUGUUCAUACAUUUGUAUUUAUAACAUGAUAAAAAAUCUAAUAGAACAUGGAAAUUUGAACAUACUCGGGAUCAAGAUAACCCGCUCUGCCCAUGACUGAUGUCACCACACUAGUCCCAUUAUCACUCGAAAAAACCACAGACAGACCAAAACCUGCUAUUUUCGCGUCCAAGUUUUUGUUGUACUGUGCUUGCUCUCCUCUCUUAAUGCAAUUCUCAUAUUUGAUUCCCUUCUUAAGUGUAGCUGAAAUACAAAUCCAAUUUAUCUGUGAUUAACAUAUUCUAGAUAACUCGACAUGAUUUUAUUCAAGGAUGAAAGAUUGAAGAAAGAAGGUGCAUAUUGACGAUACAGAUUACCUUACACAAAAUUGGUCUCAGAAAAGUGUAUCUGCACCAUAACACCAUGUGGAACAUGUCUUAGAACAUAUUUGAAUGCACAUUGGAUGUUAAAACAUAUACAGAAUGACCACGGAUUCGUAAACAGUUGCAAAUGUACUUCUAUUUACUCAUAUUUAAGGACUAAAAAGCUUAAUUUCCACAAAAGUCUUAAGUGCUGUUCCAAAAAGAUUGUGAAAGCAAAGAAAUUAAUGUUCUUCCACGAGGCUAGAAAAUGUAUGAUUUUGCAAACUAAAUGCAACUAAGACAAGAGAACAGAACCAAUCACGAAUUACUGUUUCGGGAAAGAAAUCUACACUUGACAGUUGGAAAUGCGAGAAAUCUUGGGCCAGUCAAGCAGGGUGCUUCUUUUAAUUUAGAACACAACAGUAAAAUUUGAACUGGCUUCCCUACUGUCAAUAGAUACUCCAGGUUCCCACAACGGUGAGUAGAUAGAUCAUCGACACAUGAAAGGUUCCGUCAUCACUCUGGUAAGACCCUUCUGAAUCAUCAAGUGCCAUUGUUGAUAGUAAUGAUCCAAGUAUUGGAACAACAAUAUUCUUCUUAAGCUUGCUUGAAUCUGAUCUAAAAAUAACUUAUCAGCAGAUAGAAAAUAUAAAUCUGAAGGACGCAAUGCCAUUCGCUUUUGUUAAAGGAAAUGCUAACCUAUCGGGCACUCUCCAUGAACAAAACUUGCACAGAGCAGUAGGACGAGGAAACCAGUUGAGAUCUUCAUCUCUCUGUCUCAUUGCAGCCUAUGAACUACCAGGUAUUUAAAACGCGUGACAAUGUCCCAACCAAAAAAACAGAAAAAACGUAUAUGAGUGUGGAUUUGUAACCUCAUGCUGCACAAUGAUCCUUAUCACAUGGGGAUGCUUAGUGUACGUCAAUCAAUGGAUAAUGCAAUGUUCAUACUAGAGCAAUUUGGUCAAGUCUAACAUAUUUUCUAGUCAAAGCAUUUCAAACAAUGUUACUGUUAGGGUUAUGUGCUGUGAUACAACCCGAAGUAUUGGACAAAAGUGAUUGAGUUGAGGACAAUAUAGAUACAUACUAGUAUGUAGCCUACACUGAUUCACUGCAUAAAAGAUCCCAAACCCAUUUUUAACCCACCAAGUUUUGAACAUGGGAUGAAUGAGAGUUUGUAGCUCCCUAGCAUGGUGCAGUCAUGGAACCUGCAUUUGUGGAAUCUGAACGUCUGGAAAUCACUCUAGGUGAACUAUGGUAUGGUGAAAUCGUAACACGAGUUUAUUCAUUUGAGCCUGGAGUUCUUUUUGGAUGCCUAGGCACCUCCAUUUCCAAACGUUGUGUUAGUUGACUUGACACGGCACAAAACCCAUGCUGCAGACCAAAAAAAGUAAUCAUAAACCACUAACUGUUCUUACAUUUGUAUUCAUAACAUGAUAAAAAUCUAAAGGAACAAGGAAAUUUGAACAUACUCUGGAUCAAGAUAACCUGCUGUGCCCAUGACUGAUGUCACCACACGAGUCCCAUUAUCACUGGAAAAAACCAUGGACAUACUGAAAUUUGCUAUUUUCGCAUCCAAGUUUUCGUUGCGCUGGGAUCGCCUCCUCUCUUAAUGCAAUUCUCUUACUGGAUUCCCUUCUUAAGUAAGCUGAAAUACAAAUCCAAUUUAUCUGUGAUUAACGUAUUUUACAUAACUUGACAUGAUUUUAUUGGAGGAUGAAAGAUGGAAGAAAGAAGCUCCAUGUUAACUAAACAGAUUACUUUCCAUAAAAUUGGUCUAAUAAAACUGUGUUAGUUGGGUGAACCUGCACAUAGUGAGAUGAAACACAACCCCGUAAAAAAGUGUAUCUGCACGAUAACAAUCAAAUGGAACUAAGACAAGGGAACAGAACAAAUCGUGAAUUACUGUUUCGGGAAAGAAACCUACAUUUGAUUGUCGGAAAUGUGAGAAAUGUUGGGCCAGUGAGGUAGGUUGCAUUUUCUUUUAAUUUAGAACGCAACAGAAAAAAUUGUACCGGCUUCCCCACUGCUGUAGAUGCUUCAGAUUCCCACAGCUGUGAAUAGAUAGAUCGUCCACACACGAAGGGUUCCGUCAUCACUCUGACAAGAGCCUUUUGACUCAUCAAGGGUUCCGUCCACACACGAAGGAUUCCGAUUCUUCACUCAACUAAUAUCCCGUUUACUGCAGAAAACGAGAGUGAGUGAACAAUAUUGGACAAAAUAAAAUAUACAUGGAUAAUUGAUUGGAAAUAAAAAUAAGGGCUCCAAAAAUUAAAAUUACCUCUGAUAACUGGAAUGUGAUAAAUCUUUGGCCAUUCAGGGCCGUCCUUGGCGCAUCUUUCUUUGAGACGGGGACACCAUCGGAUCUGUAGCUUACGUAAUUUGGUUAGGCGUUGCAUAGCUUCGACCGUAGGCAGAUGCAUCAGAUUCUUACAUUUCCAAAUUUCCAACUCUGUAAGAGAUGUAAGGUUGCCCAACCACUCUGGAAGAGCCUCCACACCAUGGAAAUAUUUAAUAGACAAAGAUGUUAGAGAAGUAGAGUGUUGAAUUGGCUGAGGCAGAGACUUGAGCUUAGGCCACCCGUAUAAUAUUAAUUUUUCCGAUGGGACCUGAAGAUCCGGGAAAGAAUCGAGCUCCUUGCAGAACUUACCGAUCCACAACCUUUUCAAACGAGAUAGAGAGUGCAGCCCCUUGGGCAAAUAUUGUAAUUUCCCACAAUUAGACACAGAUAGAGAGGAAAGAGAUUGCAAGCUGGACAAAUUGUGAUCCGCCAGAGAUAUCAAAUUGCGGCAAUCAUCGACAGACAAACUGGUAAGAGACGUGCAGGAUGCAAGCCCACUCGGUAUACUUGUUAAUCGACCGCAUUUCCUAAUCUUCAACUCAGUGAGGAAUGUAAGGUUGUCUAAACUGGGAAUAGCCUCUAGACGAGGGCAAUUAAAGAUACUUAGACCUUCGAGAGAGACGGGGGUUUGUAGCCCAUGACCCGACAAAGUCCUCAAAUUACGACAAUUCCAGAUAAUUAGUGUGCGAAGACUAGUACAAGAUUGGAGCCCAUUCAGUAUACUUUUGAAUCCAUUGCAUUCUUUAAUAAACAAAUAACAGAGGGAUGUGCAACCGUUUAAAGACAAGUCGUCCUCCCCGUCCGCCUCCGGUGAGAAAUCUACCGAGUUCUCGAUUUGCAAAUGACGGAGUGAAGACAGACUGUGAAUUGAAGUGCAUCUUAACUUUGGGCAAAGAGCUAUGUACAACCGUUCAAGAGAUUGGGAUGAUGAAAUUGGAAUGGAUUUUAGAUUGGGGCAAUCCACAAUAUCAAUACUUUGAAGUUUCCGCAAGUGUCCGAGCGGUGGGACCUCCUCACAUUUUUUGCAAUUGGAUAGUUGAAUCUCUGUUAACGAAUCACUCAUCAUACAUGAUGCAAAUUUAGCACCCAUAAAUUUCACAAUCCUCAAGCUUUCUAAAUUGGGGGGCGACUGAAGGCCUUCAAGAAUAUCCUGGUCAAGAAAAUUGCCAUUUCUUUCCGUAUAAUGGCUCCUCUUCCAUUUUAAUUCCAAUUUUCGUAUGUGUGUUUUUCCCACUAAAUUUGAUUUCAUUGCUUCUUUCUUGUCUCUCACAUAUUCCAAUGAUCCAAUAACUAGUUCCCCUUUCACUUCAUUUAGCCCGCCCAGCUCAUCAAUUGUAUGACGCCUUGCUCUAUCCAAAGUAAAGGAACGUAGUGCUUGCAGGUGAGUCAAUUGUGUUAUCCGAAAUGGAAAUUCCUUAUCCUUAUUGAAAUAAACAUGCCUCAAGUUGAUCAAAUUUUCCAUUUCCCUAGGAAACGUUUUAAGAUUGUAUGUUUUUGACAUUCUUAACGUCUGAAGAUUAUAGAGCUUGCCAAUAGAUUUGGGGAGUUCUUUUAUUUAUGUCCUUGAAAUAUUGAGAUACCUCAAGCGUUUCAACUCUCCAAUUGAGAUGGGCAACUCCUCUAUUUCAGCCUUGUAUAAAUUUAACGUCCGUAAAUCUCUAAACCUUUCAAACAUGUUACUGAACUCAAAGCGUCGUGGAGGAAACAACGACCGCAAUCUCGUAACACUCCCUUGUAGAAAUCUUUCAAGUGUGGUGGAAGAAAUCCGGGCAACAUGCUGAAUCUCAAGUGCUCUAUCGUCCAUCCAAUCCAAGUCUCGCGUUAAGCUUUCAAAUUUGAAUACUUCCUCAGCAAGAUCAUGCACAAGAUCAUGCAUCUUGCAUUUGGUAUUCCCAUACUCAUCUUCUCUUUCUCUUCUAUGUGCAUACUCAUAGUUUCUAGCAUCUUGAAAUAAAGAGUUUUGCAAUAGAAUAUUAAAAUGUUCAUUACCUUUAUCCUCCAUGGGAGAAGAAUGGAGAUAUCCUUGAGCCAUCCAGAGCUGGACCAAGUCAUCUUUUUCAAUUUCACAAUCUUUUUCAAACAUUGAGCAAUAUGCAAAACAUUGCUUCAAUGAUGGCUCUCUUAAAUUAUCAAAACUCAACUUCAAGAUCGACAUGAUUUGGUCCUCUCCAUUUGGUAAUUCCCAUAUUUUACUUUCUAGAAUUGACGACCAUUCCUGUGAACGCAUCAAGCUUCCUAAAACCUGUUGAUACAUAAGAUAAUUAGUUUCUAUAUGUUUUAGAAUAUAAAAAGCUGAUCAGCAAAAUAAUAACAGUGCCAAAUUAUAGUUUUAUUGAAUUUUGACUAUAGUUAUUGGCAAUAUAAAAGACGCAUUGAACUCAACUUUGUUUUGUAUCGAUGAAAAGUGAAAGACUGCUCUUGCUAGAAGAGAAAUACUUAAGGGACUUGCUAGCCAAGUAAGAAUUGGUCUCAGAAUUAAUUGAAAGAUACUUUAUUAGAUCAUUUAAAUAUAAGUUUUAAAUUUUUUUUUGAGUACAUCAAUAUAUUUUUACACCAAAAGAUUGGAGAGUUCGGCUAAACCACACAAUGGACAACCUAAUUUGGUAUCGAAUUCGGCAUCCACAAGAUUUGAACCUAAAACCUUUCACUUCUAAAUGAAGAAGAAUAUUAUGAUACUGUAGUACUAAGGGGCUAUAAGUGUCAAUUAGAUACUUAUGAUAACUGAGUAACUGAAUGGUUCGUAACAAUGCACUAGGAAUGUAGUAUUUUGAAGGAGAGCUUUGAUCCACAUUUUCUAGAGCGUUUACAUGUAUAUAUAAGGUUAAGAUUCGGAGACACUCAUUUUUGAAACAUAUUUUAACACAAGUUUUCGUGGCUUUCAUUCUGUAAUUUUUUUUUCAAGGAUCUCAAUCGUUUAUAUUUCAAUUCAUCAUUCAUAGAUCUUUCUUGUAAAAAUUUAGACAAAUCCAAACUCAUUUUGACAUUUAUUGGUAGUGAAGAAAAAAGCCGAUACGAUUCUACAAAGAUACACUAAAUUUAUGCAGUUGCACGAUGAGCACAAAGUGAACUAUUCUUUCGCCUUUUACUAAAGAAACACUGAAUUUGAUCCAAUGGUCAUAUGACUUCAGAUUUGGAUGAUUUUUUGAUAGAGAUGAUAUUUUAGGGAAGACAUAAAAUAUAAGACGGUUAGAUCGUUGAAAUACGUUAAACACACAAUAUAUAUAUACACACACACAGAGCUUAAGGGGAGGGAUCCCCAUUUUUUGGAAAAAAAUGGGGACACGCUCCCCACCGUUAGAUUGACUUUAAUGAAAUUGUGUGAUUGAGAUUGUGUGGCCUGUGUUUUAAUCUCAACCACACAAUUUCAUUAAAGUCAAUCUAAUGGUGAGGAGCGUGUCCCCAUUUUUUUGAAAAAAUGGGGAUCCCUCCCCUUAAGCAAUUCCUAUAUACAUAUAUAUUAUAUAUAUAUAUAUAUAUAUAUAUAUGUAUGUAUAUAUGUAGAUAUAUGUAUAUAUGUAUAUAUAUGUAUAUAGAGAGAGCUUAAGGGGAGGGAUCCUCAUUUUUUGAAAAAAAUGGGGAUUAGGUGUGGGGCCCACUUCACAUCAAAUUUCAACGAUUCGAACCGUCUAUUUUGUUAGUUUCGAUUCAUAGAUCAUCCUUGCAAAAUAUUAGCUAAAUUGGAAAUGUUUAAGACAUCUAAUUGGGUUCAAGGAAAUGAACGAAUACUUUGUUAUAUAAGAAAAUAUGAAAUUUGAUAUUGAUAAUUAAAUAGGCAAAUGGUUUCGGAUUGAAUUGAAUUUUUGCAAGUAUGAUCUAUGAAUCGAGACUAACAAAAUAGACGGUUCGGAUCGUUGAAAUUUGAUGUGAAGUGGGCCCCACACCUAAUCCCCAUUUUUUUCAAAAAAUGGGGAUCCCUCCCCUUAAGCUCUCUGUAUGUAUAUAUAUGUAUAUAUGUAUAUAUAUGUAUAUGAAGGCUUUAAGGGAAGGGAUCCACAUUUUUUUUUAUAUAAAUAGGGAUCUGUUGUGGGGCCAUACCACAUCGAAUUUUAACGAUUCGAACCGUCUAUUUUUCAAAUUGCAUCUCAUAGAUCAUUCUUGCAAAAUAUUAGCCAAAUCGGAAAUAUUUAAGACAUCUAAUUGGGUUCAAAGAAAUUAAUGAAUACUUGUUAUAUAAGAAACAAUGAAAUUUUACCUUGAUAAUUAAAUAGGCUAAUGAUUUCGGAUUGAAUUGAAUUGUUGCAAGAAUGAUCUAUGAAUCGAGACUUUCGAAAUAGACUGUUCGGAUGAAGUUCGAUGUGAAGUGGGCCUAUGGAUUGUUCAAAAAAUGUGUCUCCCAAUCCUAAUCCAUAUAUAUGUUAUAUAAACAAAAUUGACCCUUUAAAGCUCACUAUUAUGUUUUUCAUGCAAUUUUCCUUUAAAAUUGUUGGACAAAAUUAGAUAUACCAAGUUAAGGCUUUUUAUAAUGGCGAUUCUGUUGAAUAUUUAAUCAUACUUAUAUUACUAACAUAUAAUAAUAUUCUUUUUUACCUGUAACUGAAGGGUUUUUAAGUUUUUGACUCAUAUGAAUGGUGAUGACACAUUAUAUUUAUUUGAGUUUGAGUUAGAAAUCUAGAUAAUUGUAUGUUUGACUCUGAAUAAAUAAUUAAAACUUAAAAUUAUGUAAUUGAUGCAUUAUUUAGGAGUUCAAUUAUCUGCUAUUUUUUAGGGAGAAAGAGGCAUAAAUAGUAGUAGUUCGAACAAAAAAACAUAAUUGGACUCACUUAAAAUGUAGCCUAUGAUUUUGGGCCUCUAUCUAAAAACCUUAAUAUAAUAAUAUAUGAAUACAUAUCUUCGCCGCCAAUGGUACACCAGCACACUUUUUAGCUAUGGCCCUUCCAAUGCACUCUUGAUCUGAAUCUAGAGAAGAAGCAUUACCAUCUGGUAAUGCUUCACCCUUUAAUACAGACCAACAAUCCUCCACCGAUAGGCCCUUCAAAUCACACCUCGGCAUUGUCUCAGUGAUUGAUGCAACCUUAGCACUACGGGUAGUAACAAUGGCAAUGCUUCCGGGACCUGAAUUGAGUUUCGACAAACAGUCCAUAAACUCCCUCCAAAAAUUCUUCUCUUCAUUCCAAACAUCAUCAAGUAUCAGAAUAUAUCUCUUGUCUGUCAACCUUUCUUUGAGGUCAUUCAGCAAUGCUUCCCGAGUUGUAAGUCCUGUCCUGUUUGAGUUAAGGGAUUCUAACAUCCGAUUUAGAAUCGAAUUAACCUCAAAAGUGUCGGAUACACACAACCACAUUUUUUCAACAAAAGGCGUACGAAUAGCAUCAUGAUUGAAUAUUGAUUUUGCCAAAGUCGUCUUUCCGAGUCCUCCCAUUCCCACAACGGCCAUAACCGAAAGGUUAUUUUCCUGAUUCUUGGACAUCAAGAUUUUAAUGAUAUCCGACACAAUUUUCUCCCUUCCAAUGAUCUUGUCAUACUGACCGAAGCUCGAGUCAGUUUCUCUGUUCCUCAUAAUUGGAGGAGGGCUAUGAUCUACUGGCCUUACAACUAAGCCAAUGGAAGGUGCCUCACUCUUGAGACCCGCCAGUGACGCAUUGAUGUUCUUAAUCUUUUGUGCCAUCUUUUGACGAAAUAAAAUGGGAUUGGAAAGCGAAAAGAAGUCAAGUACCUUCUUCUUCAUGUGGUUUUGAAUUUCUACUUUACGCCGGAGAACGUCGUAGUUGAUGUCCUCCAAGACGUCAUCGGCAUCGUGAGCUACGUCUUUCAGUUUCUUGACCCAGUUUCUGACUGCCAUGCUCCGAUCCUGUGGUUGGUGGGCAACAUCGCCUAAGUACUGUUCAAUUUCCUCUAACGAUACAGCAAGCUCAGUUGCUUCUUUUUUAAAAUCCUCGGAAAAGACAGAUUUCUUGAGCAGCAAGCGAACCGACCGACUUCAGUAUUCCCUCCACCGGAUAAGUGAUGAGACCUUGUAGCACAUCCAUACUCGCGCGAGAAAGGGAGAUUAGAGAGUAGAAAGCAGAGAACUGAGAGAAAGCCAAGGAAGGACACAAGAAGAGCGAAUAAGAUGAAUGAAAGGCUUAACAAUAAUUCAAGAAAAUGUGGUAUAAGAAGAAAGGACCCCUUAUAAUUGACGCCACUUACCUGUGAGCGUCAACAUAAUGUUCAAGAGCAAUAUUAACCCAUCUUAUCAGCAAAGAUUCUUUCUACAACUUUAGUAAAUAGUGGAGGCGGACUUUGAUUAGUCAAUAUUUAUUGGUCUUCCAUGGAUUUUUGUCAGGACUUAGUACUGGUGACUAUUCAACCCUACCCGGUCCUGUCACUUCAUCUUCUACAUGAUUUCGCGUAGGCAGUGGUAUUUACACAUUUAACUUUACUUUUCAUUCUUAAUUUUACUGAAUGAAUUGAAAAAGAAUAAUUAUACAAAAUUAACAAAAAUGUGUCAGAAAUAAAAAUGAUUGUGUGAAUAAGACUUUCACAUAAAAUGUGUUUUCUUUUACACAAUCGAGCUAGAAACUUGUCUCUUACACAUCGAAUUGACUAUGGUAAACCUAAACCUAACGACAAAAUGCGGUAGCUAUUACGAUCAAACGCUAGGAAUUCGUCUCCAACCCUACACAUAUCUGAUAAAGAGCGAUUAAAUUGGUCUUGGUUUUAGCAGUUUAUACAUACGUCAAAUCCAACGAAAUCAAACCAAACUAAUUAUAGUUUGAUUUAGUUCAACCUAAAAUUGCAUUUUUUUUUCAUUAUAAAAGUCAUACCAAACUUCUUAGAUUGAUUUUUAUACAACGAUAUAUAUACAGAGAUAAAAGUUAAAUCAAAACUUUUUGGAUUGGGGUGUAGUAUAAAUUUGUAUUGAACUCUUCAUUCAUGAAUUUCAAACUUAAGACCUAUUAUUUAUAAGUAAAGAAAAUUAUUGUUAGAUCAUAAUAUUAAAUGACACCCUCUUGGAUGGUUUAGUUUGAACAGUAUUUUCAUACAACGAUAUAUUUACGUUAAAUUGAGAUAAAAUGGACAAGAAUACUCUCCGAAUCUCUAUUUAGGAACUUCCACCACUAUCUCUGAGAGCUUAUUUAAAGAUUUUAAAGAAAUAUUUGGGUCUUUAAAAGAAUAUUGUUUUUUAUGAAAAGUUCUUAUAGUGUAAUCUUCAGAUUAAUAUAAAAACUAAAAUAUUGAAAAAUUAUUAUUCAUGGAUGAAAAAACCUAAAAAAAUAUCUCUACCCUUAGUUUUUCAACAAUUAAAAAAAAAUUACGUGAAAAACCAAAAAUGAAAAUUUCACGUGGGUGGGAAUCGUGGGAUCAACAAACAAGGUAAAAGACAAAAAACCAACUGGUGUGGGUCACUUUUCUCCAAAAUCAACAGAGGCCCACUAUACAAUUUUCACAUUUGAGAUUUUCUUUUGAAGUAUUUAGCGAGUUUUUAUCAAGGAACAAAAUGCCGAUAAUAUCGGUGAUAUUUCGCCGAUAUUAUCGGUUUUUCAGGGUACCGAUAUUUUAAUAGGUAUCCAAUGGGUUUUCGUCAAAAUAUUGCGAUAUUUCCGAAACUAUCGCGAUAUUUUGGAACUGUGCUACUCGGAGAAGAACGCCGGAGCUUCUACAGCUCCGGCCGAUUACAAACGCAAACCUUAGACUCCGAUCUAAUUACCAACGUGAAGAGGAAAGAGAGAGGAGUAAGUUUAUACCCUUGGUUCGCCGUGAAAUGGCUGAAGGUUUUCGGAAAGCUCCUUAACAGUCACGGGUUCGCCGGAGUUGGGUGAGCUUUCCCUUGACCUGAUCUCGUUCCAUAACACACACAUAAGCUUACCUAACUGGAGAAAAUGAAGAAAACUCACCGGAGGUUUCUGGGUUUCGUCAAUCUUGCAGAGACAAGAGGAAGAGAGAGAAAGACGAGGUUUUGAUGGUGAUGCCGUCUACGGAACGAUGGUGUGGGUGCCGUGUACUAGGGUAAUCAUGGGAGAAAGAGUGAGAGUGAUGAGAGGGUUUCGAGAGAGAAGAGAGUGUGCAGAGAAGGAAAGAAAGAGAAGAAGAAAGAAAGGGGGUCUCGGGUAGGAUCUGGUUGAUCUCGGUGACGAUGGUGAUGAAGCCAGAGGAGGAAGAGGAGGAGGGAAGGCGGCGGAGGGAGAAGGAGUAGGAGGAAACGAAGAGGGUUUUGCAGGGGCGGAGAUUGCGAAGAGGGAGAUGAGGGCGAUGAGGAGGAGGAGGGAUCGUUUACUCGUUCUCUCUGUCUUCUCUUCUUUCUCGUUUCAAUUGGCAAUUUAGGGAUUUAAGCAAGUUUUAGGCCCCCAAAUCAUCUACUUAUAUUGCCCUAAAAAACUCCAAGUAAUUACAACAUCGUAUUAGAAUUGUAAUUGAUCCUUGUUAGAUUUGGUUUAGAAAUUCUAUGUAAUUUAGUGAUUGUUUCAUAUUAGGUUUAGAUUUGAAUUUUUUACUCCAUUCAGAUUUUAAAGGAUUAUAAUAGAUUUAAAAAUUUAUGAAUUUUGAUGAAGUUUAAUAAUUUUUAAAACUUUUAUGUAAAAUUUUAAGUGAAUUCCCUCAAAUUUUCAGGGAGCGAUUUGAGAAUGUUUAAAAUAUUAUGUGAAAUAUUUCUAAUUUUUUCGAGUUUCCCAACUUUUUAAAAAUCUCUUCGAAUCAAUUUCUAAAUGAAUACAUUUGGAAUGUAUGAAUAUCUUAAAAAUCAUGAUCGAAUACCCAAAAAACUUUAAAGAAUCACUUAAAAUCCUGAUUAAAUACCCUUAGAUUUUUAAGGAGAAUUAAAAUGUUUAUAAGCCCCAAUUGGAUGUACCGCUUAAUUUAACUAAUUGACACAACACAACAAAACUAGUUAAGAUUACAAAUUAACACAAAAGACGACUUGAUGCGAGGUCAUAUCUAAAAAACUUGCCGCAAUAAGCCCCAAUUGGUGUGUUUAAACUUCUUUCAUUAAUUACUACAUAUUUUCUACACUCACAUGUUUGUCAGCUCGCUAUAUAAUCAACUUGAUAAUGUUAAAUCCAUCAUGCAAUGCAUUUCCUUCCAAUUUUUUGUGAUAAACUAAUAGAUAAUUGACUAAAUAAACAUCCUGCAAAGUUUUUCAAUAAAAAAUUUCCAAGUUUUUCUUACAAUUUUCGUGGUUUCCAUGUAAUUUUUAUCGAUAUCGAUAUUAUCCCGAUAUUUCCAUCGAUUUUCCGUGUUUUCGGACUACCGAUAUUUCCGAUAUUACCGAUAUUUAAUACCUUGGUUUUUAUAUAGGGAGUUUUAACGAAAAACCCACGGUACUGUUCACUUUAACGAAAAACCACAUUUUUACACUAAAAAGUCAAACCUGGUACUAUUCACUUUACCUUUUAUUUUGUCCUUAUCAUUAAAACUCAAAGUUUUCAAGCUUUUUUCAUUAGUUUUCCUUUUUAUAUAUUUGAAUAUUUUUUGACAAAAAAAAUAUUGGAAUAUUUUAAAGACUUUAUUUUCGACUCUUUAAAUACUUUUUGUCUUUAUGUUUAGAGAUUGUACUAUUAUAAAGACUUUGUUUAGAUUCUCUAUUGGAGAUGUUCAAACAUGACAAAAAGGUGAAAGUAGAGCAAGACCACAUAAAUAUAAAUUCAUCUUAUCUGUAAUCUCUUUCGACAACUUUAGAUGAUAGUGUAGACCCAACUUUAACAAAGUAAAUUAAAGAUAUUUAUUAAAAAAUAAUAACAACUUCGUUAGUACAUUCAAAAGUGUAUGUAUGAUAAGAAGAUCCUAAGUAUUCGUUUUUCAGUACUAACGAGAGUCAUCAGAUUGAAAUACCUCCAAGUAAUUGUAAACGAUUCGAAUUCACGGAACAACUAUACAAAUUCAACAUAUGUCAUUUGGUUUCCAAGUUGAUCACUACGUGUAUUUCAAUCAAGGAUGAAAAAAUCGAUAAUAUCGGCGACAUCGUUUUUUUGAAGUUCCGAAAUUUUUUUAACUAUCCAACCUAUUUUCAUCAAAAUAUCGCGAUAUUAUCGAUAAUACCAAUAAUAUCGCGAUAUUAUCGAUAAUACCAAUAAUAUCGCGAUAUUUUCGAAAUUAUCGACAAUAUCGUGAUAUUUUAUUAAAAAAAUACUUAAAUAUGUUGAGAAAACUCAACACAUAGUUAACUUGAUCAUGGCCCAAAGGCCAAACAAGUUUUGGUUAUCUCUCCAGGGAAGUGAGUUUUAUAGCAAAAAUUCAUUUCUCACUUCCUUGCAUGGGCGAUGUGGGACUCGCCCAAUGGGGGAAAAAAUCAAAAUUUCGGCCGAAAUUUUACACUCACUUUAAACGGCCAUAACUUUGUCAAAACUCAACGAAAUCAAGCAAGACAAAAACUAAAGUUGUAGCCCUCGAAGAGACUAAGAGAAUGGUACCUCACACUAUGUCUUAAUCGUAGUGGUUUGGCCGGAAAAUGCCUCGAAAGUCACUGAGGUCGCUGAGGUCGUCGGAAACUGGGUAAGAUUCAAAUGAGUAUAACUUUUUCAAUACGCAACGAAAUUGAGUGAAACAAAAAGGAAAGUUGUAGCCCUCGAAGAGACGAAGAUAAUGGUACCUCACACGAUGUCUGAAUCGUCGUGGUUUGGCCGGAAAAUUCCUCGAAAGUCACUGAGGUCGCUGAGGUCGUCGGAAACUGGGUAAGAUUCAAAUGAGUAUAAUUUUUUCAAUACGCAACGAAAUUGAGUGAAACAAAAAGGAAAGUUGUAGCCCUCGAAGAGACGAAGAGAAUGGUACCUCACACGACGUCUGACUCGUUGUGGUUUGGCCGGAAAUUGCCUCGAAAUCUACUGAGGUCGCCGGAAACUGGGUAAGAUUCAAAUGAGCUUUUUCAAUACGCAACGAAAUUGAGUGAAACAAAAAGGAAAGUUGUAGCCCUCGAAGAGACGAAGAGAUUGAUACCUUGCACGUCAGCCCAAAAUUCAAAUUGACACACUCCUAGCUUCCAAAAUUCAAUACUUUUUACUUUAUAUCAAGUUGAAAAAACAUAAUCGGCAUCCAAAUUAAAGUUUAAUCUUAUUCAAUGUAUUGAUUUUCAAUCGUUAAUUGAUAUACUAUAAUUUGGAACUUCAACGCCUAGACGCAUGCUUAUGUGUAAGAAAUUUAAAUUGUCAAAUUCGGCACAUUAUUCUUCAUCAUUUUAUUCACUUCCCUUUUUUUUUUUUUUAAUAUCCUAAAUAAAACCUCCAAAUAUUGUACUAAUUAAUUAUAUAUAAAUGAUUAUGGUGUGUUUAAACUUCUUUCAUUAAUUACUACAUAUUUUCUACACUCACAAUGUUUGCCAGCUCGGUAUAUAAUCAACUUAAAUCAGUUAAAUCCAUCAUGCAAUGCAUUUCCUUCCAAUUUUUUUGUGAGAAACUAAUAGAUAAUUGACUAAAUAAACAUCCUACAAAGUUUCAUUAAAAAUUUCCAAGUUUUUCUUACAAUUUCCGUGGUUUCCAUGUAAUUUUUAUCGAUAUCGAUAUUAUCCCGAUAUUUCCGUGUUUUCGGACUACCGAUAUUUCCGAUAUUACCGAUAUUUUCUUCCUUGCUUUCAAUAAUAUCUUGUUUAGAAUUUGUUUGGAUUUGCAGAUCCUCCAUCUUCUAACAUAGAGGAAAUUUCUCCAACACUGCCUUCCUUGUAAUUGUUGUAAUGAGAUGCGUUGUUGUUUUCAUGGGGCAGGUCCUAAUGAAUCCUAUAGCUAUUGGACCCCAUCCCACUUGUGUUUGGCAUCGGUGGCACCAUUGUGUUUGGCAAUCAAUGCAAAAUUACGUACAAUAAUUUAAGUAUCAAACAAAAUGUAAACUUCAUUUUGAACAUAUGGAGUAGGGUUUGUUGCAAGUAUAUUAUUGGAGAUCGAAUAAUGACAUGAGACUAAUAAUAAUUUCUGGUGUAAUUUGUUAAUUUUCUGAGUAUUCCACUGACUUUUUGGAAGGCUGGCUGGUGGAGGAAGCUGCUUUUAGCUUUUUAUUACUUCUUGAAACUACCCGCUUCGGAUUUGAAUUUACCAAAAGCAACUUUCAGCUGUUAACUGCAAUUUAUGCAGCUGAUAAGAGAUAUAACCCACUCUACACCUCGUAACGAAAAAAAAAACCCUUCUAUAGACACUUUGAUCACGUCAUCUAUAGAGUUAUUUAGUGUAAGAGCUUUUCUAAUACGUUGAAACUCAUUUUCAAGUGAGAGACAUCAAAUUUGACUCACAUAAAUAGUAAAUUUGAAAACAUUUUUUGUCGAAAAAAAAUAUGUUUGUUACUUAAUUGUUAUAUGUUGGAUGUCGAGUUUCUAUUAGAAAAUAUUUCUUGUAUAUAAAAGGAAAACAAUUUUAAUUUCAUUAUGUACACAUGUCAAUAUCACUGGCAAUUUGACCAAAUGGCUACUAUUUGGUGUUUUAACUGCAAAUGCAUGAAAUCAGUGAGAGAUUUUUCAAUGUGAUCGAUACACAAAAUAAUAUAUCACGUGUCACUAUAUAAAUUUUUAUGUAUGUUAAAAAGUUAAUAACUUAAAAAAUAAAAUUUCUCACAAAUUCUAUAAAAACAUGUGAUGUACCAUUCGUGUUCCGAUCACAAUGAAAAAUUUCUCGAAACCUUCACGCUUGCUUCCUCAAUCACCAACAUUGACCAUUCUCUCUUUCCCAUUAAAAAAAUUAAUAAAUAUGGCGUCAGUCAUACAAAGUCAAGCUUUCUAAACUCUUUUAUGGACAGAUGCGGAUUUUAGGGUUCAAAGCUUAACCAACGGGUAAUUCGGAUCAUUUAACUUGAUUUUAAUAGUACUAAUUAACUCAUUCUGCUGCCUCAUUUUACGCAAUCUAAAGACUUCAACGUCUUUUGGACCUAAAUUUUCUGGUCCUUAGGCUCUGAACCCUAAUGUCAGAAGGGGAACAAAUUCCUCUUUAUUAUCCAUCUGUCAAAUAUUCAACUGUUUGCUUUUAGCUCGUUGUCCUAGUUUCUAUAUUCCUCAUCCUCCUCUAGCUAGCUUUUAGAGUCCGGCAUCCGAAUCACAUGUCCAUGCGGCCCUAGACACAUUAAAGCUUCCCUACUCCAUGUAAUGACUCCACUCCCCUCUCCCUCCACCUUCAUGGCCCAACACCUUUGGGUUUCGGACAAAAUAAUUUAUACAUCUAGAGAGGUUCUUGUGUCUGAAACCCCAGCUAAGUUUAAUAGAGGAGGUGGGAUCAUAAUUUGGUGUAUCGUGGGCCACACAAUCAGGGAGAUAUACUGCUUUUUUAGUGUCCAAGUCAUAGGGAUCAGGUGGAUUGGUUGCUCUAAACUAGAAUUUUAUCCUCAAUUUGACAAAUUAACAAUGGCUAAUUGGCUAUGCCGCUCCCUCUCUAUGUUGUUAAUAGUGUCAAUAUUGUCCCGUUACAUCGAUUGAAGAAAAACCCAUAUCAGGAAUAAUAUGUAUAAACAAAAUAUGAUGCUUUAUUUGAGAAUUUAUUUGAGAAUCAUGGCCUUGGAUGAGUUUACGAUAGAUAAAUACCACAAAGUAUAGAUAGUCAAAAGUUCAAACAUUAUUGACGGAUGGUGAAUGUGAAUGAUAAUUCAAGAGUAGUGAGAAAGAUGAUUGGUAUUUAGUCUUUGGUCACUAUUAUCUUGAAAGUUGAUGACCAAAAUGACAACUGCCUCCCCUUCUUUUGGCUGCAACAGCAGAAAUAGGAUGCUUACAUGGAACCGGCAUUUGUGGAAUAUGAACAUCUGGAAAUUACUCCACUACGUAAGACAAGAUCAUCACUUUCUGUGAUUGCAGGUUGGCCAGUAAAACUCUAAACAUCAAUUUUUUUUCAUUCAACCUUUGAUAAUUAUAGUACCUGCAGACCAAAUAAAGUAAUCAUAGAUCACUCACUGCUCAUAGAUUUGUUUUUUUUUUUUAAAUCAAAAUUCUAAGAACACGAAAUAUGAACAUACUCAGGAUCGAGAUACCCUGCUGUGCUCAUGACCGAAGCCACCACGAGUUUCACUGUCACUGGGAAAAGCCAUGGACAGACCGAGAUCUGCUAUUUUUGCGUCCAAGUUUUCACUUAAGAGAAUGUUGGCAGUAUUUGCGUCUCUAUGCACAAUACGUGGAUUGCACCUUUAUGCAAGGAAAUAGUCCUGUGAGCCAAAUUUCACAAUAUACAUAAGUUGAAUUAGGCAUAUGAACUUGCGCAAGUAUAUUAGCGUACGAAAUAUCACGAAGCACCAACCUAACGCAAUAUCUAGUGUUAUCCGAAGUCUCAUUUCCCAAGUCGCAUGUGACCUUCUAUCUGCAUUUUUAGCCAUUGACGUGACACUUCAAUAUUUUGAAACCCUCUGAUGGAGGACAAUGCUUAUAAAAUAUAGAACUACACACCUGAGAGAUAUUCUUUUAGGUUUCCUUUAGGCAUGUACUCGUAUGUAAUAUGAGUACCAGGUAGUAUCAUCACAGUAUCCAAUAAAUGAGGCCAAGUUUCUAUGAUGUAUUCUCAUCACGAGCUCAACCUGCAGCAACAAGGAACACAUCAAUCUCUAACCAACGAGACAAGGCACUUGCAAUUCCAAGGAAUUUAAAUCCUAACUGCCAAACCUCUGUUUGGAACUCCCUAGCUCCUUGAGUUGACGAUGGAGAAAGUAUUUUAACCGCAACUUGAGUGCCAUCUUCCAAGUAGCCAUGGUAUACAAUCCCAAGUCCUCCUUUCCCAAUUUCAGUUUGAAAGUUUUCGGUGAUUUCUAAAACCUCGUCGUAAGUAAACUGGGACUUCAUUGAUGCUACUGGUGUGCUACAGGUGUUUUGUUAUGUUUUUCUCCAUCUGCAGCUUAAGGACAAAAAGUUAUGAGUGCAGGCUAACUGCAUAGGAAUACCACAACGCCAUAGUAGCAGCGCUGUUUCUAACUAAAUAAGUAUCAAGGGUAUAAAAUGGUACCUGGUUUUCUUAUUCUUCUCAGCUUCCAGACCAGUAAGAGCACUAUAACUUGAAGAAGGGCCAUUGUUGAAAGUAAUGAUCCAAGUAUUGUUCAAAGUAAUGAUCCAAGUAUUGGAACAACAAUGAUCUUCUUGUACUUGCUUGAAUCUGAGCUAAAAAGAACUUAUCAGCAGAUAGAAAAUAUAAAUCUGAAGGACGCAAUACCAUUCGCUUUCGUUAAAGAAAAUGCUAACCUAUUCAGCACUCUCCAUGAACGAAACUUGCACAAAGCAGUAGGACGAGGAAACCAGUUGAGAUCUUCAUCUCUCUGUCUCAUUGCAGCCUAUGAACUACCUGGUAUUUAAAAUGUGUGACAAUGUCCCGACCAAAAAAACAGAAAAACGUAUAUGACAGUGUGGAUUUGUAACCACAUGCCGCACAACUUGCAGAGUACAUACGUGAUCCUUAUUACAUGGGGAUGCUUAGUCUACGUCAAUCAAAACCUUCCCCAGAAAACUAAAUCCCUAAUAUCAGAAUUUCAAAAACCCUAACCCUUGGGAUCCUGCUGACAGCGCUGGGGCUGGGCUGACGGUGCUGGGGUGACGGCAGUGGGGUGAUGGCGGUGUGGCGACGAUGUUGCUCCAAGCGGUGGCGUGGCGACCAGACCGGUGUUCUGGGCUUCUGGGCUUCUGGCGCGCGAGAGAAGAAGAAGCAAGAAGGCAGAAGGCAGAAGGCAGAGGUAGACGAAGGCGAUCGAAUUCGAAGGUAUGGUAUGAAGACUGAAAAUCCUUACCCAAACGGCGUUGUUUUGGGUUUGGAUGGUUUUCAAAAAACAAAAAAAAGGGUAUGACAAGGCGCCUGGACGCCCUGAGGCGCGCCUCCGCCGCCUCGGCGUCUCCGGCGAAGCAUUUCGCCUACUCCAGAAAAACUGAGGCGUUUGCCUCACCGCCCAGCCUCAAAGGCGCCCUAGGCGCGCCUCGAGGCGAGUUCUUUAAAACAUUGCUUAGAACUUAUUCGAAUGCACAUUGGACGUUAUAACAUAUACAGAAUGACCACGGAUUCGUAAACAGUUGCAAAUGUACUUCUAUUUACUCAUAUUUAAGGACCAAAAAGCUUAAUUUCCACAAAAGUCUAAAGUGCUGUUCCAAAAAGAUUGUGAAAGCAAAGAAAUUAAUGUUCUUCCACGAGGCUAGAAAGUGUAUGACUUUGCAAACUAAAUGCAACUAAGACAAAAGAACAGAACCAAUCACGAAUUACUGUUUCGGGAAAGAAACCUACACUUGACUGUAUGAAAUGCGGGAAAUCUUGGGCCAGUCGAGCAGUUGCUUCUUUUAAUUUAGAACACAACAGUAAAAUUUGGACUGGCUUCCCUACUGUCGAUAGAUACUUCAGGUUCCCACAACGGUGAGCAGAUAGAUCAUCGACACAUGUAAGGUCCCAUCAUCACUCUGGUAAGACCCUUCUGAAUCAAGUGCCAUUGUUGAUAGUAAUGAUCCAAGUAUUGGAACAACAAUAUUCUUCUUGAGCUUGCUUGAAUCUGAUUUAAAAAUAACUUAUCAGCAGACAGAAAAUAUAAAUUCUGAAGGACGCAAUGCCAUUCGCUUUCGUUAAAGGAAAUGCUAACCUAUUGGGCACUCUCCAUGAACAAACUUGCAGAGAGCAGUAGGACGAGGAAACCAGUUGAGAUCUUCAUCUCUCUGUCUCAUUGCAGCCUAUGAACUACCAGGUAUUUAAAACACGUGACAAUGUCCCGACCAAAAAAACAGAAAAACGUAUGAGUGUGGACUUGUAACCUCAUGCUGCCUGCACAAUGAUCCUUAUUACAUGGGGAUGCUUAGUGUACGUCAAUCAAUGGAUAAUGCAAUGUUCAUACUAGAGCAAUUUGGUCAAGCCAACGUAUUUUCUAGUCAAAGCAUUUCAAACAAUGUUCCUGUUAGGGUUAUGUGCUGUGAUACAACUCGAAGUAUUGGACAAAAGUGAUUAAGUUGAGGACAAUAUAGAUACAUACUAGUAUGUAGCCUACACUGAUUCACUGCACAACAGAUCCCACACCCAUUUUUAGCCCACCAAGUUUUGAACAUGGGAUGAAUGAGAGUUUGUAGCUACCUAGCAUGGUGCAGUCAUGGAACCUGCAUUUGUGGAAUCUGAACAUCUGGAAAUCACUCUAGGUGUACUAUGGUAUGAUGAAAUCGUACAAAACCCAUGCUGCAGUCAUGGAACCUCCAUUUCCAAACGUUGUGUUAGUUGACACGACACAGCACAAAACCCAUGCUGCAGACCAAAAAAAAGUAAUCAUAAACCAACUGUUCUUACAUUUGUAUUCAUAACAUGAUAAAAAAUCAAAUAGAACAAGGAAAUUUGAACAUACUCUAGAUCAAGAGAACCCGCUGUGCCCAUGACUGAUGUCACCACACAAGUCCCAUUAUCACUGGAAAAAACCAUGGACAUACUGAAAUCUGCUAUUUCCACAUCCAAGUUUUCGUUGCGCUGGGAUUGCCUCCUCUCUUAAUGCAAUUCUCUUACUGGAUUCCCUUCUUAAAUAGGCUGAAAUACAAAUCCAAUUCAUCUGUGAUUAACGUAUUUUACAUAACUUGACGUGCUUUUAUUCGAGGAUGAAAGAUGGAAGAAAGAAGUUACAUAUUAACUAAACAGAUUACCUUCCAUAAAAUUGGUCUAAUAAAACUGUGUUAGUUUGGUGAACAGAUUACCCUGUACAAAAGUGUAUCUGCACCAUAACAAUCAAAUGGACCUAAGACAAGAGAACAGAACAAAUCGUUAAUGACUGUUUCGGGAAAGAAACCUACACUUGACUGUUGGAAAUGUGAGAAAGGUUGCAUUUUCUUUAAAUUUAGAACACCACAGAAAAAAUUGUACUGGCUUCCCCACUGCUGUAGAUGCUUCAGAUUCCCAACAGCUGUGAAAAGAUAGAUCGUCCACACACGAAAGGUUCUGUCAUCACUCUGGCAAGAGCCUUUUGAAUCAUCGAGUGACAAUGAUUCCGAUUCUGACUAAUAUCCCGUUUACUGCAGAAAACUAGAGUGAGUGAACAAUAUUGGACAAAAUAUACAUGAUAAUUGAUUGGAAAUAAAAAUAAGGGCUCAAAAAAUAAAAAUUACCUCGGAUAACUGGAAUGUGAGAAAUCUUUGGCCAUUCUGGGCCGUCCUUGGUGCAUCUUUCCUUGAGACGGGGACACCUUUGGAUCUCUAGCUUAUGUAAUUUGGUUAGGCAUUGCAUAGCUUCGACCGUAGGCAGAUACAUCAGAUUCUCACACCAGGAAAUUUCCAACUCUGUAAGAGAUGUAAGGUUGCCCAACCAUUCUGGAAGAGCCUCCACACCAUCGAAAGCAGAAAUGGACAAAGAUGUUAGAGAAGUAGAGUGUUGAAUUGGCCGAGGCAGAGACUUGAGCUUAGGCCACCUGUACAAUGCUAAUUCUUCCAGUUUCGAUGGGACCUGAAAAUCUGGGAAAGAAUCGAGCUCUUUGCAGAAUAAAUCGAGCUCCUUCCAGUUUUGGUGUGAUACAAGUCAGAGAGACAAUCCGAAGUAUUGGACAAAAGUGAUUAAGUCGAGGAAAUAUAGAUACAAACUAGUAUUUAGCGUACACUGAUUCACUGCACAACAGAUCCCACACCCAUUUUUAACCCACCAAGUUAUGAACAUGGUAUGAAUGAGAGAGUUUGUAGCUACCUAGCAUGGUGCUGUCAUGGAACCUGCAUUUGUGGAAUCUGAACAUCUGGAAAUCACUCUAGGUGAACUAUGGAAUGGUGAAAUCGUAACACAAGUUUCUUCAUUCAAGCCAGUUUCUUCAUUUGAGCCUUGAGUUCUUUCUGGAUGCCUGGACACCUUCAUUUCCAAACAUUGUGUUAGUUGACAUGACACAGCACAAAACCCAUGCUGCAGACCAAAAAAAGUAUUCAUAAACCACUCACUGUUCAUACAUUUGUAUUCAUAACAUGAUAAAAAAAAUCUAAUAGAACAAGGAAAUUUGAAAAUACUAUAGGUCAAGAUAACCCACUGUGCCCAUGACUGAUGUCACCACACGAGUCCCAUUAUCACUGGAAAAAACCAUGGACAUACUGAAAUCUGCUAUUUUCGCGUCCAAGUUUUCAUUGCUCUGGGAUUGCUCUCCUGUCUAACUGCAAUUCUCUUACUGGAUUCCCUUCUUAAGUGAGCUGAAAUACUAAACCAAUUUAUCUGUGAUUAACGUAUUCUAGAUAACUCGACAUGAUUUUAUUCAAGGAUGAAAGAUUGAAGAAAAAAGUUACAUAUUGACUAAACAGAUUACCUUCCACAAAAUUGGUCUCAUAAAACUGUGUUAGUUGAGAGAACCUGCACAGAGUGAGAAGAAACACAGCCUUCUACAAAAGUGUAUCUGCACCAUAACAACCAUGCACAACAAGCCUUAGAACAUAUUCGAAUGCACGUUGAAUGUCGUAAGUUAUACAGAAUGGCCACAGACUUGCAAACACUUGCAAUUUUACUUCUAAUUAGUAAUUACUAAAAGCUUAAUUUCCACAAAAGCCUAAAGUCCUACAACAACAACAACAACAACAAAGCCUUUUCCCACUAAGUGGGGUCGGCUAUAUGAAUCCUAGAACGCCAUUGCGCUCGGUUUUGUGUCAUGUCCUCCGUUAGAUCCAAGUACUCCAAGUCUUUUCUUAGAGUCUCUUCCAAAGUUUUCCUAGGUCUUCCUCUACCCCUUCGGCCCUGAACCUCUGUCCCGUAGUCACAUCUUCGAACUGGAGCGUCAGUCGGCCUUCUUUGCACAUGUCCAAAUCACCGGAGCCGAUUUUCUCUCAUCUUUCCUACAAUUCCGGCUACUCCUACUUUACCUCGGAUAUCCUCAUUCCCAAUCUUAUCCUUUCUCGUGUGCCCAUACAUCCCACGAAGCAUCCUCAUCUCCGCUACACCCAUUUUGUGUACGUGUUGAUGCUUCACCGCCCAACAUUCUGUGCCAUACAACAUCACUGGCCUUAUUGCCGUCCUAUAAAAUUUUCCCUUGAGCUUCAGUGGCCUACGACGGUCACACAACACGCCGGAUGCAUUCUUACACUUCAUCCAUCCAGCUCGUAUUCUAUGGUUGAGAUCUCCAUCUAAUUCUCCGUUCUCUUGCAAGAUAGAUCCUAGGUAGCGAAAACGGUCGCUUUUUGUGAUCUUCGCUAGAUUGCUCCGGUCAUUAGUGUGGAUAAGUAUAUAAAUGGAUAGAGAUAGGAAAGCAAACACAAGAUGUACGGGGUUCACCCAGAUUGGCUACGUCCACGGAAUAGAAGAGUUCUCAUUAAUUGUGAAGGGUUUACACAAGUACAUAGGUUCAAGCUCUCCUUUAGUGAGUACAAGUGAAUGAUUUAGUACAAAUGACAUUAGGAAAUAUUGUGGGAGAAUGAUCUCGUAAUCACGAAACUUCUAAGUAUCGGAGUGUGGUGUCGUCUUGACUUGCCUUAUCUGUCUCAUAGGUAGAUGUGGCAUCUUCUCUGGAAGUACUCUUCCUCUAUCCAAGGGUGGUAUCUUUAACUGGUGGAGAUGCACAAGGUAAUGUAUCAAUUUCACUUGAAGCUUACUUGUAGUUUCAGGCUUGGUCAAGCGCGAUACAAACCAUGUAGUACGAGUCCCCCAAGUCGCCGAGCUAGGGGGUCUGCUGAAAGAGGUGACAGACAAGGUAAGCAAUCAGAGCUCCGACUGAUUGUUCACCUUCUCCCCAUCUUGCAGCAGCAUGAAGGAUAAAGAGAAGAAAAAUGAGAAGAGAUGAUAUGAGAUACUUUUGCUUUUGAAGAAGUAACUUUCCACAGGCUUAUUCUUGAAUUGAGCUGGAGGGUUUUCUGGUUUCCUCCAGAGUAUAAGGCCGACUGAAGAAUUUGAGGGUCAAAACAAGUCCAUCAAAUCUAGAGUACAUUCCACCCUGCUGAUAUGGGAUGCUUUUGCUUUUGACAGAGUAAUGGAUGUAUCGGCACGUGUGCUGUUACGCUUGUCUCCACAUGCUUCCUUGUAUCCUUCGCACUUGCCCUAUCUGUUCCUCAAGUAGAUGCGGAAUCUUCCCUGGAAACAUAAGAUGUUGAAGAUGAGUACUCGAGAGCAAUGCCAGGUAAGUAAUCAGGUAAGGGGUUCCAGGCAGUCAGUUCCUGGCUGGAAGCUUGAUUCCAAGUGCUGACUGAUUGCUCUCUUUCUCCUUGUCUUGCAGGUAAAAACAAGGCCAAAGGAAAAGACAGGGAAAAAGCAUGAUAUGGGAUACUCUUGCUUUUAACCCUGAUGAUAUGAGAUAUUCUUGCUCUAGUAUAGCUUGUUUGCAUAGGUAUUAUCGGGGGGAAGGAAAGCUGAAUAUUUCGAAAGGCUUCGUUGGGAGUGCCCUCUCAGAUAUGAUGAAGGGUUGAGCAUUUUUGCAGGUCUGCCUGUCUGUUGGGGAUGGAGGUCGACAUAUAUAGGAGUCUCCCUAAGAAGUAGUAAUGUUAUUCCUUUACCCUGCUUGGUCAUAGCACGGUAGUGGGAGCGGCCAGUUUCACAUGUUUUAACUCUGUCAGAGCACUUUGAGAAAGUGGUCUGUGGUAUCUGGCUCUCGAGAUUCGGAGAACGAUGCCUCUUCGAUUUUUGAGAAAGCAAUCAUGCUAGGGGUCUGGCUCUCGAGAUUCGGAGAGCGGUGUCUCUUCGAUUUUUGAGAAAGUAAUCAUGUUGGGAGUUUGGCUCUCGAGAUUCGGAGGGCGGCGCCUCUUCGAUUUUGGAGCAAGCAAUCUUGUUGGGAGUGUUGUCUCGAAUGUGAGUAAAGGUUGGGCAUGUUUGUUAGUCUACCUUGCCACGAAGCACAAAGGUUGACACACAGGGAUUUUCCAAUUAUCCAGCAAUGGUACUGUUCCUUUACCCUCUCUUCGAUUUUGAGAAAGUAGUCAUGUUGGGAGUCUGGCUCUCGAGAUUCGGAGGACGGUGUCUCUUCGAUUUUGGAGCAAGCAAUCUUGUUGGGAGUGUUUUCUCGAAUGUGAGUAAAGGUUGGGCAUGUUUGCUAGUCUACCUUGCCACGAAGCACAUAGGUUGACAAACAGGGACUUUCCAAUUAUCCAGCAGUGGUACUGUUCCUUUAUCCUUGUGGGUAAUAAUAUGGUAAUAAUAUGGUAGCUAGACCUUCAAAAUUUAUGUGUCUAAACUUUGUUAGUGCUACUUCUUUGCUAUUCUUUUACCUUUCUUGGUCAGAGCGAUGUAGUGGGAGCUGCAAGCUUCACGUGCUCAACUUUGGCAGAGAACUUUGGCAAAGUUAUCUGUGGUACCCAUGAGCUAUUGUUGCGUGUGGGAAGUGGGUGAUUGAACAGUAAGAUUCAUGUGCUUUCUACUUCACCAGAAGUCUUCGACAGAAUGCCCAUAAUUUCUGCAAAGCUGAGUGUGCGUGUGACAGGUGCUGACAAGGCUAGAAAAGUAGGUGCCUCUUCGAUUUCUGAGAUCGGCCCUCGUGGUCUCUAAGCAGCCCAGCUUUUGAGAAAGCGAGCGCCUCUUCGAUUGAUUCGGAGAACGAUGCCUCAUCGAUUUUUGAGAAAGCAAUCAUGCUGGGGGUCUGGCUCUCGAAGAUUCGGGGAGCAGUGUCUCUUCGAUUUUUGAGAAAGUAAUCAUGUUGGGAGUCUGGCUCUCGAGAUUCGGAGGGCGGUGCCUCUUCGAUUUUGGAGCAAGCAAUCUUGUUGAGAGUGUUUUCUCGAAUGUGAGUAAAGGUUGGGCAUGUUUGCUAGUCUACCUUGCCACGAAGCACAGAGGUUGACACACAGGGACUUUCCAAUUAUCCAGCAGUGGUACUAUUCUUUUACCCUCUCUUCGAUUUUUAAGAAAGUAGUCAUGUUGGGAGUCUGGCUCUCGAGAUUCGGAGGACGGUGCCUCUUCGAUUUUGGAGCAAGCAAUCUUAUUGGGAGUGUUUUCUCGAAUGUGAGUAAAGGUUGGGCAUGUUUGCUAGUCUACUUUGCCACGAAGCACAGAGGUUGACACACAGGGACUUUCCAAUUAUCCAGCAGUGGUACUAUUCCUUGACCCUUGUGGGUAAUAAUAUGGUAGCUAGACCUUCAAAAUUUAUGGGUCUAAACUUUGUUAGUGCUGUUUCUUUGCUAUUCUUUUGCCUUUCUUGGUCAGAGCGAUGUAGUGGGAGCUGCAAGCUUCACGUGCUCUACUUUGGCAGAGAACUUUGGCAAAGUUAUCUGUGGUACCCAUGAGCUAUUGUUGCGUGUGGGAAGUGGGUGAUUGAACAGUAAGAUUCAUGUGCUUUCUACUUCACCAGAAGUCUUCGACAGAAUGCCCAUAAUUUCUGCAAAGCUGAGUGUGCGUGUGACAGGUGCUGACAAGGCUAGAAAAGUAGGUGCCUCUUCGAUUUCUGAGAUCGGCCCUCAUGGUCUCUAAGCAGCCCAGCUUUUGAGAAAGCGAGCGCCUCUUCGAUUGAUUCGGAGAACGAUGCCUCAUCGAUUUUUGAGAAAGCAAUCAUGCUAGGGGUCUGGCUCUCGAAGAUUCGGGGAGCAGUGUCUCUUCGAUUUUUGAGAAAGUAAUCAUGUUGGGAGUCUGGCUCUCGAGAUUCGGAGGGCGGUGCCUCUUCGAUUUUGGAGCAAGCAAUCUUGUUGAGAGUGUUUUCUCGAAUGUGAGUAAAGGUUGGGCAUGUUUGCUAGUCUACCUUGCCACGAAGCACAGAGGUUGACACACAGGGACUUUCCAAUUAUCCAGCAAUGGUACUGUUCCUUUACCCUCUCUUCGAUUUUUAAGAAAGUAGUCAUGUUGGGAGUCUGGCUCUCGAGAUUCGGAGGACGGUGCCUCUUCGAUUUUGGAGCAAGCAAUUUUAUUGGGAGUGUUUUCUCGAAUGUGAGUAAAGGUUGGGCAUGUUUGCUAGUCUACCUUGCCACGAAGCACAAAGGUUGACACACAGGGACUUUCCAAUUAUCCAGCAGUGGUACUAUUCCUUUACCCUUGUGGGUAAUAAUAUGGUAGCUAGACCUUCAAAAUUUAUGGGUCUAAACUUUGUUAGUGCUGUUUCUUUGCUAUUCUUUUACCCUUCUUGGUCAGAGCGAUGUAGUGGGAGCUGCAAGCUUCACGUGCUCAACUUUGGCAGAGAACUUUGGCAAAGUUAUCUGUGGUACCCAUGAGCUAUUGUUGCGUGUGGGAAGUGGGUGAUUGAACAGUAAGAUUCAUGUGUUUUCUACUUCCCCAGAAGUCUUCGACAGAAUGCCCAUAAUUUCCGCAAAGCUGAGUGUGCGUGUGAUAGGUGCUGACAAGGUUGGAAAAGUAGGUGCCUCUUCGAUUUCUGAGAUCGGCCCUCGUGGUCUCUGGGGAGCCCAGCUUUUGAGAAAGCGAGCGCCUCUUCGAUUUCUGAGAUCAGCCUUCGAGGUCUUUGAGCAGCCCAACUUUUGAGAAAGCAAACGCUUAUUCGAUUUCUGAGAUCAACCCUCGUGAUCUCUAAGCAGCCCAGCUUUUGAGAAAGCAAACGCCUCUUCGAUUUCUGAGCAGGCGCCUCUUCGAUUUCUGAAGCUCCGUCGAGUGCAGAUUUUUAUAGGGGCUGGCAUUAAGUUCCAAAGCACACUUGAAUCUCCACCAGUAGAAGCUUCAUUCUUGCACUUCUAAGAUCUUGAUUUGUCCGACCUCUUCUCUCUUCAACACCUUUGAAAAUGUCUGGCCCCUCCGACCGUCAUUUUGACUUGAACCUUGUUCAAGAGGCAGCCCCGCCUUCUCCAGACAACAUAUGGCGCCCAUCCUUCGUCUCCCCUACUGGUCCUCUUACCGUUGGGGAUUCCGUGAUGAAGAAUGAUGACCGCUGCGGUGGUGGCCAGGAACCUUCUCACUCCCAAAGAUAACAGACUACUUUCCAAACGGUCUGAUGAGUUAGCUGUUAAGGAUUCGCUGGCUCUCAGUGUUCAGUGUGCAGGUUAUGUGUCUAAUAUGGCCCAACGCCUAUUUGCUCGAACCCGCCAAGUUGAAUCAUUGGCGGCUGAAGUGAUGAGUCUCAAACAGGAGAUUAGAGGGCUCAAGCAUGAGAAUAAACAGUUGCACCGGCUCGCACAUGACUAUGCUACAAACAUGAAGAGGAAGCUUGACCAGAUGAAGGAAACUGAUGGUCAGGUUUUACUUGAUCAUCAGAGAUUUGUGGGUUUGUUCCAAAGGCAUUUAUUGCCUUCGUCUUCUGGGGCUGUACCGCGUAAUGAAGCUCCAAAUGAUCAACCUCUGAUGCCUCCUCCUUCUAGGGUUCUGUCCAGUACUGAGGCUCCAAAUGAUCCCCAUCCGGUGCCUGCUCUUUCUGGGGCUCUACCGACUGCUGAGACUUCUCCUAAGCAACCUUUGUGAAAGCUCCCUCUUGUGUGUUUAUUUUGACUCAUGUAUAUGUACAUAUUUAUAGUUUAUCGGAGAUAUCAAUAAAUAAGCUUUCCUUCAUUUCAACGUAUUGUGUUAAAUACACCAAAGCCUUCUUCGCUAAGUUCUUUGAAUUUUCUUUUGUUGAAGCUUGUAUGUUGAAGCUUUCUGAGUGGAGCAUGUAGGUUGGGGUAGUGUUCCCUUAAUUUUCCGAGUGAGGAAAACUUCUCGGUUGGAGACUUGGAAAAUCCAAGUCACUGAGUGGGAUCGGCUAUAUGAAUCUUAGAACGCCAUUGUGUUGGAUCCUGUGUCAUGUCCUUCGUUAGAUCCAAGUACUCUAAGUCUUUUCUUAGAGUCUCUUCCAAAGUUUUCCUAGGUCUUCCUCUACCCCUUCGGCCCUGAACCUCUGUCCCAUAGUCGCAUCUUCUAAUCGGAGCAUCAGUAGGCCUUCUGUGCACAUGUCCAAACCACCGUAACCGAUUUUCUCUCAUCUUUCCUUCAAUUUCGGCUACUCCUACUUUACCCCGGAUAUCCUCAUUCCUAAUCUUAUCCUUUCUCGUGUGCCCACACAUCCAACGAAGCAUCCUCAUCUCCGCUACACCCAUUUUGUGUACGUGUUGAUGUUUCACCGCCCAACAUUCUGUGCCAUACAGCAUCGCCGGCCUUAUUGUCGUCCUAUAAAAUUUUCCCUUGAGCUUCAGUGGCAUACGGCGGUCACAUAACACGCCGGAUGCACUCUUCCACUUCAUCCAUCCAGCUUGUAUUCUAUGGUUGAGAUCUCCAUCUAAUUCUCUGUUCUUUUGCAAGAUAGAUCCUAGGUAACGAAAACGGUCGCUCUUUGGUAUUUCUUGAUCUCCGAUCCUCACCCCUAACUCGUUUUGGCCUCCAUUUGCACUGAACUUGCACUCCAUAUAUUCUGUCUUUGAUCGGCUUAGGCGAAGACCUUUAGAUUCCAACACUUCUCUCCAAAGGUUAAGCUUUGCAUUUACCCCUUCCUGAGUUUCAUCUAUCAACACUAUAUCGUCUGCGAACAGCAUACACCAAGGAAUAUCAUCUUGAAUAUGUCCUGUUAACUCAUCCAUUACCAACGCAAAAAGGUAAGGACUUAAGGAUGAGCCUUGAUGUAAUCCUACAGUUAUGGGAAAGCUUUCGGUUUGUCCUUCAUGAGUUCUUACGGCAGUCUUUGCUCCUUCAUACAUAUCCUUUAUAGCUUGGAUAUAUGCUACUCGUACUCCUUUCUUCUCUAAAAUCCUCCAAAUAAUGUCUCUUGGGACCCUAUCAUACGCUUUUUCCAAAUCUAUAAAGACCAUGUGUAAAUCCUUUUUCCCAUCUCUAUAUCUUUCCAUCAAUCUUCGUAAGAGAUAGAUUGCCUCCAUGGUUGAGCGCCCUGGCAUGAACCCGAAUUGGUUGUCCGAAAUCCGUGUCUCUUGCCUCAAUCUAUGCUCAAUGACUCUCUCCCAGAGCUUCAUUGUAUGACUCAUUAGCUUAAUACCCUUAUAGUUCAUGCAAUUUUGUACGUCGCCCUUAUUCUUGUAGAUAGGCACCAAAGUGCUCGUUCGCCACUCAUUUGACAUCUUCUUCGUUUUCAAAAUCCUAUUGAAAAGGUCAGUGAGCCAUGUUAUACCUGUCUCUCCCAAAAGUUUCCACACUUCGAUUGGUAUAUCGUCUGGGCCUAUUGUUUUUUUAUGCUUCAUCUUCUUCAAAGCUACAACCACUUCUUCCUUCCGGAUUCGACGAUAAAAAGAGUAGUUUCUACACUCUUCUGAGUUACUCAACUCCCCUAAAGAAGCACUCAUUUCAUGUCCUUCAUUGAAGAGAUUAUGAAAAUAACCUCUCCAUCUGUCUUUAACCGCGUUCUCUGUAGCAAGAACCUUUCCAUCCUCAUCCUUGAUGCACCUCACUUGGUUUAGGUCCCUUGUCUUCUUUUCCCUUGCUCUAGAUAGUUUAUAGAUAUCCAACUCUCCUUCUUUGGUAUCUAGUCGUUUAUACAUAUCGUCGUAAGCCGCUAACUUAGCUUCUCUGACAGCUUUCUUCGCCUCUUGCUUCGCUUUUCUAUACCUUUCACCAUUUUCAUCGGUCAUCUCCUUGUAUAAGGCUUUACAACAUUCCUUCUUAGCCUUCACCUUUGUUUGUACCUCCUCAUUCCACCACCAAGAUUCCUUUUGGUGUGGGGCAAAGCCCUUGGACUCUCCUAAUACCUCUUUUGCUACUUUUCGGAUACAACUAGCCAUGGAAUCCCACAUUUGGCUAGCUUCCCCCUCUCUAUCCCACACACAUUGGGUGAUUACCUUCUCUUUGAAAAAUGGCUUGUUUUUCUUCUUUUAGAUUCCACCAUCUAGUCCUUGGGCACUUCCAAGUCUUGUUCUUUUGUCUUACUCUUUUGAUAUGUACAUCCAUCACCAACAAGCGAUGUUGAUUAGCCACGCUCUCUCCUGGUAUAACUUUGCAAUCCUUACAAGUUAUACGAUCCCCUUUCCUCAUUAGAAGAAAAUCUAUUUGUGUUUUUGACGACCCACUCUUGUAGGUGAUCACAUGUUCUUCUCUCUUCUUAAAGAAGGUGUUGGCUAAGAAGAGAUCAUAUGCCAUUGCAAAAUCCAAGAUAGCUUCCCCAUCCUCGUUUCUCUCCCCAAAACCAUGGCCACCAUGAAAACCUCCAUAGUUGCCUGUCUCCCUGCCCACGUGUCCAUUUAAAUCUCCUCCUAUAAAUAACUUCUCCGUCUGAGCAAUUCCUUGCACCAAGUCUCCAAGAUCUUCCCAAAAUUUCUCCUUCGAACUCGUAUCCAACCCUACUUGAGGUGCGUACGCACUAAUCACAUUGAUAAGUUCUUGUCCUAUUACAAUCUUGAUUGCCAUGAUUCUAUCUCCUACCCUCUUGACAUCUACAACAUCUUGUACCAAGGUCUUGUCCACGAUGAUGCCAACACCGUUUCUCGUUCUAUUUGUGCCCGAAUACCAAAGUUUAAACCCUGAGUUUUCUAGAUCCUUUGCCUUACUACCAACCCACUUAGUUUCUUGUAGGCACAUAAUAUUUAUCCUUCUCCUCACCAUCCUUACUACCAACCCACUUAGUUUCUUGUAGGCACAUAAUAUUUAUCCUUCUCCUCACCAUAACUUCCACUACUUCCAUAGAUUUUCCCGUUAAGGUUCCUAUAUUCCACGUUCCUAAACGCAUUUUGCUCUCUUGAACUCUACCCUUCUGUCCUAGCUUCUUCAGGGUCUGGGAGAGGUGAAUGUCGGCUAGCCUUACCCCCAUUUUAUGGAGAGCCUGCUCCCAAGUCUCGAACCCGAGACCUACCGCUCAUGGGCGAAGGCACUUGCCAUCGCACCAAGUGCGACCAGAGUGAGUAAACAAUAUUGAACCAAAUACACAUGAAUAAUUGAUUGGAGAUAAAAAUAAAAAUUACCUCUGAUAUCUGGAAUAUGAUAAAUCUUUGGCCAUUCUGGGCCACUGUUCUUGGCGCAUCUUUCUGCCAGACGUUGGUGAUUGGUAUUUAGUCUUUGGUUACUAUUAUCUUUAGUAAAUGGAGUAGACUUGUACUUGAAAGUUGAUGACCAAAUUGACAACUGCCUCCUCUUCAUUUGGCUGCAAUGAAAUCCUAACUAGCUACCCAGCAAAUGGUGUUGUCAUGGAACCUGCAUUUGUGGAAUAUGAACAUCUGGAAUUCACUCAAGGUGAAUUAUGGUAUGGUGAAAUCGUAACAUGAGUUUCUUCAUUUGAGCCUGGAGUUCCUUCUCGAUGCCUAGACACCUCCAUUUCCAGAAAUUGUGUUAGUUGGCACAUCACAAAACUCAUGGUGGCUCUAUGUUGGGAGGUAUGCAAAGCUGCCUCUGAUGCUUUCCAGACCGAAUUCACAUUGAACUCUCCUCGAAGCCCUUGAUCCAAAAUAGUUGUUCAAUUCCCGUUCUGGAACUCAAGAUUCACCUACUCCACUAUGUGGACAAGAUCAUCAUUUUCUAUGAUUGCAGGUUGGCUAGUAAAACCCUAAACAUCAAUUUUUUUUUUCCUUCAACCUUGCUAAUUAUAGUAUCUGCAGACCAAAUAAAGUAAUCAUAGAUCACUCACUGCUCAUAGAAUUCACAUUGAACUCUCCUCGAAGCCUUUGAUCCUAAAUAGUUGUUCAAUUCCCGUUCUGGAACUCAAGAUUCACCCGCUCCACUAUGUGGACAAGAUCAUCAUUUUCUAUGAUUGCAGGUUGGCCAGUAAAACCCUAAACAUCAAUUUUUUUUUCCUUCAACCUUGCUAAUUAUAGUAUCUGCAGACCAAAUAAAGUAAUCAAAGAUCACUCACUGCUCAUAGAUUUUUUUUUUUUUUUAACAUGAUCAAAAUUCUAAGAACAGUAGAACACGAAAUCUGAACAUGCUCGGAAUCAAGAUACCUUGCUGUGCCCAUGAACGAUGCCACCAGAGUCUCAUUGUCACUGGGAAAAACCAUGGACAGACCAAAAUCUGCUAUUUUGCAUCCAAGUUUUAAUUCAGGAGAAUGUUGGCAGUCUUUACAUCUCUAUGCACAAUACUGGAUUGUGAAUAUAUAGUAGCACAAAAAAUAACACUAAGCACCUAUCUAACGCAAUAUCUAAUGCCAUCCAAAGUCUCAUUUCCCAAGUUUAUGUGAGCUCCUAUCUGCUUCUGCAACCAUUAACGUGACACUUCAAUAUUUUGAAACCCUCUGUUGGAGGACAAUGCUAUGUAAAAUAUAGAAUUACAUACCUGAUCAGAGAUAUUCUUUUAGGUUUUCAUUAGGCAUGUACUUGUAUAUAAGUGCCAACUUGUCAGUAUCACACAGUAUCCAAUAAACGAGGCCAAGUUUCUAUGAUGGAUUCUCAUCGGGAGCUCAACCUGCAGCCACAAGGAACUCAUCAAUCUCUAACCAAAGAGACAAGGCAUUUAACUUGCAUCCAAGGAAUUAAAUUCAAACUGUCAAACCUCUGUUUGGAACUCCCUAGCUGAGCUAGCUCCUUGAGAUGACGAUGUAGAACCACAACUUGAGUGCCAUAUUUCAACUAGCCAUGGUAUACAAUCCCAAAUCCUCCUUUCCCGAUUUCCGUUUUAAAGAUUUCGGUGAUUUCUAAAACCUCGUCAUAAGUGAACUAGGACUUCUGAUGCUACAGGAGUUUUGUUACGUGUUUCUCCAUCUGCAGCUCAAGUAGACAAAAAGAUAUGAGUUCAGACUAACUGGUUAGGAAUACCACUACACCAUAGUAGGAGCGCCGGUUCUAAUUGAAUUAAGUAUCAAAAAGAUAUGAGUUCAGACUAACUGGUUAGGAAUACCACAACACCAUUUGCUUUGGUUAAAGAAAAUGCUAACCUAUUCGGUGCUCUCCAUGAAUGAAACUUGCACAGAGCAGUAGGACAAGGAAAUCAAUUGAGAUCAUCUUCUCUCUUUGUCUCACUGCAGCCUAUGAACUACCUGGUAUUUAUUAUGCGUGACAAUGUUCUGACCAAAAAAGCAGAAAAACGUAUAUGACAGUGUGGAUUUGUACCUUAUGCUGCACAACUUUACAUGAAAUCAUUCUAGGUGAAAUCGUAAUAUGAGUUUCUUCAUUUUAGACUGGAGUUCUUUGUUGAUGCGUAGACACCUCUAUUCCAUACAUUGUGUUAGUUGGCACAGCACAAAACCCAUGGUGGCUCUAUGUUGGCAGGUGAUAGUUGUGCAUGCCAUUGCUG
This 39856-nucleotide long non-coding RNA is filed under the name Malus domestica (apple). RNAcentral describes it as "long non-coding RNA (MDOM_LNC001379)". The record is from RNAcentral. Lineage: Eukaryota; Viridiplantae; Streptophyta; Magnoliopsida; Rosales; Rosaceae.